AUACGGAGGAUGCGAGCGUUAUCCGGAUUUAUUGGGUUUAGAGGGUGCGUAGGCUGUGCGUUAAGUCAGGGGUGAAAUGCCGUCGCUCAACGACGGAGCUGCCCUUGAUACUGGCGUGCUGGAGUACGGAUGCCGUUGGAGGAAUGAGUGGUGUAGCGGUGAAAUGCUUAGAUAUCACUCAGAACACCGAUUGCGAAGGCAUCUGACGAAUCCGUCACUGACGCUGAGGCACGAAAGCGUGGGGAUAGAACAGGAUUAGAUACCCUGGUAUUCCACGCCGUAAACGAUGAUGACUAACCGUCGGCGAUAGACAGCCGGUGGCCAAGCGAAAGCGAUAAGUCAUCCACCUGGGGAGUACGUCGGCAACGAUGAAACUCAAAUGAAUUGGCGGGG
Molecule: ribosomal RNA, 393 nt
Filed under: uncultured bacterium
Lineage: Bacteria
Description: partial 16S ribosomal RNA
Rfam family: Bacterial small subunit ribosomal RNA
Source: RNAcentral